AUUGAACGCUGGCGGCAGGCCUAACACAUGCAAGUCGAGCGGAUGGAGGGAGCUUGCUCCUGGAUUCAGCGGCGGACGGGUGAGUAAUGCCUAGGAAUCUGCCUGGUCGUGGGGGAUCACGUCCGGAAACGGGCGCUAAUACCGCAUACGUCCUGAGGGAGAAAGUGGGGGAGCUUCGGACCUCACGCUAUCAGAUGAGCCUAGGUGGGAUUAGCUAGUUGGUGGGGUAAAGGCCUACCAAGGCGACGAUCCGUAACUGGUCUGAGAGGAUGAUCAGGCACAUUGGCACUGAGACACGGCCCAGACUCCUACGGUAGGCAGCAGUGCGGAAUAUUGGGCGAUGGGCGAAAGCCUGAUCCAGCCAUGCCGCGUGUGUGAAGAAGGUCUUCGGAUUGUAAAGCACUUUAAGUUGGGAGGAAGGGCAGUAAGUUAAUACCUUGCUGUUUUGACGGUACCAACAGAAUAAGCACCGGCUAACUUCGUG
This 484-nucleotide ribosomal RNA is filed under the name uncultured bacterium. RNAcentral describes it as "partial 16S ribosomal RNA". It matches the Rfam family "Bacterial small subunit ribosomal RNA", at positions 30 to 507 of the family's 1533-position model. The record is from RNAcentral.